ACUGAACGCUGGCGGCAGGCCUAACACAUGCAAGUCGAGCGAUAACAGGGGUAGCUUGCUACCCGCUGACGAGCGGCGGACGGGUGAGUAAUGCAUAGGAAUCUGCCCGAUAGUGGGGGAUAACCUGGGGAAACCCAGGCUAAUACCGCAUACGUCCUACGGGAGAAAGGGGGCUCCGGCUCCCGCUAUCGGAUGAGCCUAUGUCGGAUUAGCUGGUUGGUGAGGUAACGGCUCACCAAGGCGACGAUCCGUAGCUGGUCUGAGAGGAUGAUCAGCCACAUCGGGACUGAGACACGGCCCGAACUCCUACGGGAGGCAGCAGUGGGGAAUAUUGGACAAUGGGGGGAACCCUGAUCCAGCCAUGCCGCGUGUGUGAAGAAGGCCCUCGGGUUGUAAAGCACUUUCAGUGAGGAAGAACGCCUGGUGGUUAAUACCCAUCAGGAAAGACAUCACUCACAGAAGAAGCACCGGCUAACUCCGUGCCAGCAGCCGCGGUAAUACGGAGGGUGCGAGCGUUAAUCGGAAUUACUGGGCGUAAAGCGCGCGUAGGUGGCUUGAUAAGCCGGUUGUGAAAGCCCCGGGCUCAACCUGGGAACGGCAUCCGGAACUGUCAAGCUAGAGUGCAGGAGAGGAAGGUAGAAUUCCCGGUGUAGCGGUGAAAUGCGUAGAGAUCGGGAGGAAUACCAGUGGCGAAGGCGGCCUUCUGGACUGACACUGACACUGAGGUGCGAAAGCGUGGGUAGCAAACAGG
Molecule: ribosomal RNA, 751 nt
Filed under: uncultured Halomonas sp.
Lineage: Bacteria; Pseudomonadati; Pseudomonadota; Gammaproteobacteria; Oceanospirillales; Halomonadaceae
Description: bacterial SSU rRNA
Rfam family: Bacterial small subunit ribosomal RNA
Source: RNAcentral